GAAAUUGCCUAUAAAAUUAUAUAUUAUGUUGUUAUAUUUUAUUAUAUAUUAUAUCAUAUAUUAUAACAUAUAACCUACGAAAACUAAUAUAUAUUAUAUAUAUAUUUGUUUUUAAUUUCCAGUCCCUUUGGAACAGCCUAAAGGAACAGGCACCACGGGCGUAGCCCCUGGCACAACUGUUGCCCCAGGAAGUUCCAAAACAGAGGCCACGACGUCCCUUGGGGAAAGCAAAGCAACUGGAAUUGGGAUAGCGACAGGUGAGUAUCACAUACUGAUACCUGUACCUCAUAUAACAGCAAAUAAACACACACACAAACACACACACACUCUCUCUCUCUUUCUCUCUCUCUCUCUGUCUCUCUUUCUCUCAAGGUCUUACACUGGAGUCUUUAUUCCCAGAGCACACAAUUGCCUUUAUUAUUCCACCUUGAAGACAAAAUAAUGACACAGAUAUAGCAAUGUGGAGAGAAAAUUCUCCUGUCCUCCAAAGUAAGAGACGUGAUGGUAAACAAUUCCAAAGGAGUUAUAGAAAUAUUUUCAUGUGAGAGCUUAAG
Pteronotus mesoamericanus is the source of this 554-nucleotide long non-coding RNA. RefSeq lists it as uncharacterized. The transcript has 3 exons. NCBI's taxonomy places the organism in Eukaryota, Metazoa, Chordata, Mammalia, Chiroptera, Mormoopidae. The record is from RefSeq and is a predicted model, not a curated record.